This is a long non-coding RNA of Hypanus sabinus (Atlantic stingray), 320 nucleotides long. RefSeq lists it as uncharacterized. The transcript has 3 exons. Lineage: Eukaryota; Metazoa; Chordata; Chondrichthyes; Myliobatiformes; Dasyatidae. The record is from RefSeq and is a predicted model, not a curated record.
GAAACAUUGAAGAGCUCUGGAGAGUGGUCGACUUGUGCCUUGCUGAAGUCCACAGUCAUCUCUUUUGUCUAGUCCGUGUCGGGACUCAGGCAGCCAUGAAAACAAAGAAACAUCAUGAAACCCAUUCAAUGAAAACAACAAAUAUCCAACAUGCAAAAAAAAAGAACAUUUCGCUCAAACUGCGAAAGUGGGCAAAUAAACCUGUUCUUUUCCUUUUUCUGGAGCAUUAAGGCAAGGCACCUCGACAUCCCACACCUCCAAUCUCACCUCAUGGAUUGGAACAUCUGACUCUAAAUAACUUUUGUAGAAGGCAUUACCCC